Hibiscus syriacus is the source of this 1261-nucleotide long non-coding RNA. RefSeq lists it as uncharacterized. The transcript has 2 exons. NCBI's taxonomy places the organism in Eukaryota, Viridiplantae, Streptophyta, Magnoliopsida, Malvales, Malvaceae. The record is from RefSeq and is a predicted model, not a curated record.
UUCUUCUCCCAUUUUCUCUCUAAUGGUCGGCCACCUCUCACCUCUUUCUUCAAACUCAACAAGUUCAUCACAUGUUCAUCUUAUAUUCAUUCCAAAAGUCCACUUUGAUCCAAAAAAAAAACACCUAAAUACCAAAAUAACAUGUUUAUAAAGAUCAAACUCAUCUUUUUCCUCAAGAACACCACUCAAGUUCUUCACAUUUUUCUUUUCUUUAUCGAAACUAACACCCAACCAAACCUUUAUUUUCGUUUUUCAAGAAUAAAUCUCCAUAUCUCACAAACCUCUUCAUCUCUUUAGAUCAAAAUCAAGAACUCCCAAGAACAUUUCCAAAACAAAACCUAAAAUGUUCUUGAUUUUAACCUAAACUAAACCCGAUUUCAAAAUAAAUCACCCAAUCUCCAACCAUCCUAACUACCAGAAAACCGAAAUCAUCACCACCCUAAAUACUAAAACCUGCCGGCCACCAUCUCCGCCACCGCAACCCGAAAACGGCUACGACUAUUCGAACCGAGAAAAGAAAGCCAUGAAGCAAAGUUCACCUUAACGACAAGUGGCGGCGACGAAAUACUGAGGUAGAAUCUUCGUUUUCUUGUGUUAAUAUUGGCUCCUUUGAUGUUUUUCCAAGUUUGAAAUAAAAAACGAUGAUAACCCGAUGAUUUUCCGUUCAAAAUGGUGGCGACAGUGGCCGGGAAGACGAUAUUACAGCACGUGUUGUUCACGUGCCUGAGAAACUCUGGUGCCGGUGGGACGCGCUGGUGAAGCUCCAAAGUUCUCCUUUGAUGAAGCAAUCUUGGCCAUUGGAUUAAAUCUAGAUCUAAUGGUUGAGAUGUAUUUGUGCUUCUUCACUUGGAUGGAUGACGUGGCUUAAUGAGAGCCUUUGGAUCUAGCUUCCCAUCCAAGGGCUCUAAAGAAUUUGUGUUUUCUUCUCAAAGAUUAAUGAUGUGGCAAAAAUCUAAGCCAUUGGAUCUGAAGCUCAUCCAUGGUCCAUAAUUGCUUGGCUCUCUUCACGAGGAUGAAUAAGGUGUCAUCAUUAAGUACACCUAAAAAAGUAUCACCACAAUUAAUACAUUGUACCAUUAAAAAAUCAAAAACAAAAACAAAAACUACCCCCCAUACCCACAAAAACCGACUGCUACACAUGUAAAAUCAGUUUUUUUUUCUUUUUUGUAUUUACUUGUAUAUAUUUGUAAAAGGUGUGGGCUAUUAUUUGGGCCUAAAAAACUAUAUAAAUGGAUUAUUACUUAAUGAAAUGGAUUAUUUA